GAGGAAGAAACAGAAAAGGGAAAGUAAGGAACUAACAACUAUGAGAAGAAAAACAGGGGACCAGAGGGGGAGCUUGGGGCCCCGGCCAAUGGCCUGGAGGAUGGAGACCCCAGUGAUCAGUGACCUGGUGACCCGGAGAUGCAGCUCAGGAGUCGCAGCCGGUUCUGGGCAGUGGAAGGAAAAUGGGCUGUGGAGAGAGGACCCCGGGUGACCUGACCAGCCGGUUCCAGCCAGAGGGGGCCAGAGGAGGGCUGAGAGGAGAGGAGACCCAGGCCUUCCUGUUUACGACUCUGUUUACCUGGAGAGAAGACAAUGGACAGAGGCGGGGCUUGGGGCCGGGGAUAUUGGAGGCCCAUCUGGGUAGCAGGGGAGCUCUGGGCUGGAGAGUGGGAGCAGGCAGAGCCCCCCUGGAUGCAGGAAGACUGGGAUGUGCUGGACUGAGAGAGGUCAGGCCUGAGCCCCAGAGAGUUUCCUGUGCUGUGUUCAACUCUCAAUAAACGCUCCUGUUUUAUGCUG
This is a long non-coding RNA of Gopherus flavomarginatus (Mexican gopher tortoise), 516 nucleotides long. RefSeq lists it as uncharacterized. NCBI's taxonomy places the organism in Eukaryota, Metazoa, Chordata, Testudines, Testudinidae. The record is from RefSeq and is a predicted model, not a curated record. The transcript has 2 exons.